AGAGUUUGAUCCUGGCUCAGAAUCAACGCUGGCGGCGUGCCUAACACAUGCAAGUCGAACGAGAAAGCGGGGGCAACUCCGCGAGUAAAGUGGCGUACGGGUGAGUAACACGUGGGUAAUCUACCUUUUAGUGGGGAAUAACGCUGGGAAACCGGCGCUAAUACCGCAUAAUCUCGAGAGAGGAAAGCAGCAAUGCGCUGAAAGAGGAGCCCGCGGCCGAUUAGCUGGUUGGGAGGGUAAAAGCCUACCAAGGCAAAGAUCGGUAGCCGGCCUGAGAGGGCACACGGCCACACUGGCACUGAAACACGGGCCAGACUCCUACGGGAGGCAGCAGUGGGGAAUCUUGCACAAUGGGGGAAACCCUGAUGCAGCGACGCCGCGUGAGCGAUGAAGCCCUUCGGGGUGUAAAGCUCUUUCGGCAGGGACGAUAGUGACGGUACCUGCAGAAGCAGCUGCGGCUAACUACGU
Molecule: ribosomal RNA, 468 nt
Filed under: uncultured Acidobacteriota bacterium
Lineage: Bacteria; Pseudomonadati; Acidobacteriota
Description: bacterial SSU rRNA
Rfam family: Bacterial small subunit ribosomal RNA
Source: RNAcentral